Molecule: long non-coding RNA, 2466 nt
Filed under: Nicotiana tabacum (common tobacco)
Lineage: Eukaryota; Viridiplantae; Streptophyta; Magnoliopsida; Solanales; Solanaceae
Description: long non-coding RNA (NTAB_LNC017058)
Source: RNAcentral
GCACAUUUUCUUGCCUUAGAAGGCAGACUUGAAGAGGUAAAAUUCCAGAAAAACACAAACGGAUAAAAACUGGAUGAGAACACUGUUUCAUGGAGCUUUUUUUACUUAAAAUUUUGAGAUCCUCAAUUUGCUGAAUCAAUUUAUGCUUUAUUUGGUUGUGAAAUGGGUUGAGAUCGAGACUGGUUUGAAGAUUUCUGGUUUAUUGUUUGACUGAAGUUGGUUUCUAUACCACUGUACCUCAUUGUUGGGUUCUAAAAUUGGUUUUCUGGUUCAUUUCUUGUUGCUGGGUUCCACUGCUGUUGUUGUUUCUUGCUUUCACCUCUUUUCCUUUUGGCAAUUUCCAGGUAUAUCUUCAAAACUUGUCAUGGAAUUGAAUAUUGACUAGCAUGUAUGAAGAUCUGGAAACUCAAGUUGAAGUUUAAAUGGAGACAUUAAAAUUUUGAUGUAAUUACUGUUAAUUACUACCAUUAUGUGUAAUUAAAUGCUUCAGUUUUGUGGUAAUUCAGUUUCUGGUUCAUGUUGGGUUGCUGAUUCAUGCCAAUAGCUUAGGGUGGCUUAGUUAUUUAGAUUAAGUGUGUAAUUUCAGAGUAUGGAGUAUUGUGAUAGUGUUUAAAUUCUAUUCGUAUAAAUGAACUGUUAAAUAUUUUGUAAGGGAAAACUACUUAAAGGUGUCAUUAGUUUUCUUGGUUUGAAAUCGAGGCUUGUUGUAUUGAGUGGUGUCCAUGAUCCUGCUUGGUACUUUGAAAAGUAUCACAGUAUUGCGUUUAGUUAAAAAGCUUUUUAAUGGUCUGUGAUUAGUUCCAAUCCCAUAUGCUUGUUUGUGGGAAGUUAGUUUAAGAAAAAUUAGAAUACAAGCAUGAGCAUUUCGUUAAUUAUGGCAUCAGCAUGGUUUCAGUAAAGAGGGUAAUAAGUUACAUGUUCUUGGGCUUGUCUCAUGAGCCCAAUAACUUGGGUUGUUAUCGUGAGGCCCUUCACUUAGUAAAUUUGAAUCAAAAAUGCAGGCUGAGAUAAAAUUGCAAGUUCAUGUUAAUAACUUGUGCUUGAAUAUUAAAAUUUAGAGGUGAAAUCAUUAAUACAAUGGCAUGUCUCAAUUAGACUUGCAUUCUGAUGAUGUUUAUGCCAUCGAUGGUUUUGUGUGUCUGAAAUCUGUGCUUAAGUAAGCCCAGCAAGGGAACAUCCUUUGACUUGUUUGGACGUCUUGCAAUCUUAAUGUAUGCUCUUUCGGAGAUUGGGGGUUCCCUUGGGCCUAAACCAGAAGACAUGGACCAGUGGGGUUAUAUGCUCUGGCGUUCUGGACUCUUAGUUUUGCAGUUGACCCUUAGGCCUCAAUCUAGACCCAAGCAUUGAAUGAUGAAUUAUAGAUAGCUUUAUAAUUAAUAAGUUGGGUUUGAGAAUUGACUUAAAAGUAGCCAUAGAUUCUUCAAAUUUCAUUUGGUUAAUCUAGUUAGUGGAGGUGUGCCAUAUUAAACAAGAAUAGCUUAUGACCCUCAUGUAUUAAUUUAGAAAUGCUCUAAUUAGAGUAAGCUGAGGUGCGCCAUGCCAAACAAAAAUGACAAUUGCAUGGCCCUCAUCCAAUUAAUUUUGUUUAUCCUUAGAACUCGAGGCGUGCCAUUUAGUGAAUUUCAUGACCCUCGCAAAGUUGCAAACAUGAAAUUGCUUUAGGCGCGUUAGUUUAAUAAUAUUACUUUCCUAAAUUAGGAUGCGCAUUUAUGUGACCCAAAUCCAAAUCACAACGAUGUUAAAAUAUGUCAAAGAUCGCGGGUGUAUUUAUAUGACGUGGUUUGAGACGUGUUUCAAUGACGUUGCAAUUUUCUCUAAAAAAUGAAUAAAAGCGGUUAAAAAGUUAAAAUUUGCGUAGGUUCAUAAUUGUUUAAAAUCAUAUAAUUAAGCCAAUAAUAACAGUUGGGCGACCGUGCUAGAACCACGGAACUCGGGAAUACCUAACACUUUCUCCCGAGUUAACAGAAUUUCUUACCCGGAUUUCUGGUUCGCGGACUAUAAUACAGAGUCAACCUUUUUCUCCACUCGGGAUUUGAACCGGUGACUUAGGGCACUGUAAAUUAUCCCAAGUGGCGACUCUGAAUCUUUUAAUAAAAUAAUCCCGUUUCGAUUGUCACUUUAAGUUGGAAAAACUCCCUUAUACACCUUUUUCCGGGGGUGUAGGCAAAAAGGAGGUGUGACACCCUCUUGGAUAGAUUUGAGGAUUUGAGGGUCGAAAUGUUAUCGAAUAUAGUAAUUUUGGUAUGACUAGACUCGUGGUUGAAUGGGUUGUCGGAUUUUGUGAGUUUCGUCGGAUUUCGAGACGUGGGCCCCACGGGCGAUUUUGAGUUAAAUUUCGGAUUUUGUUGGAAAAUUAGUAUUUUCUUAUGGAAUUAGUUCCUAUAAUUAGUAUUUACUGAAUUGAAUUAACUGUGGCUAGAUUGGGUCGAUUGGAGGCCAAUUCAAGGGGCAAAGGCAUUUCGGAGU